UACAGAGGUCUCAAGCGUUGUUCGGAUUCAUUGGGCGUAAAGGGUGCGUAGGCGGCGGGGCAAGUCAGGUGUGAAAUCCCGGAGCUCAACUCCGGAACUGCACUUGAUACUGCCUUGCUAGAGUACUGGAGAGGAGACUGGAAUUUACGGUGUAGCAGUGAAAUGCGUAGAUAUCGGGAGGAACACCAGUGGCGAAGGCGGCUUCCUGGCCUGUUCUUGACGCUGAGGCGCGAAAGCUAGGGGAGCAAACGGG
This 253-nucleotide ribosomal RNA is filed under the name uncultured bacterium. Its description in RNAcentral is "partial 16S ribosomal RNA". It matches the Rfam family "Bacterial small subunit ribosomal RNA", at positions 524 to 776 of the family's 1533-position model. The record is from RNAcentral.